AGAGUUUGAUCAUGGCUCAGGAUGAACGCUAGCGGCAGGCUUAAUACAUGCAAGUCGAGGGGCAGCGCGGGGUAGCAAUACUCUGGCGGCGACCGGCAAACGGGUGCGGAACACGUACAGAACCUUCCUUCGAGCGGGGAAUAGCCCAGAGAAAUUUGGAUUAAUACCCCAUAGCAUAUUGGAGAGGCAUCUCUCUGAUAUUAAAGAUUUAUCACUUGAAGAUGGCUGUGCGCCUGAUUAGGUAGUUGGCGGGGUAACGGCCCACCAAGCCUGCGAUCAGUAACUGGUGUGAGAGCACGACCAGUCACACGGGCACUGAGACACGGGCCCGACUCCUACGGGAGGCAGCAGUAAGGAAUAUUGGGCAAUGGAGGAAACUCUGACCCAGCCAUGCCGCGUGGAGGAUGAAGGCCCUCUGGGUUGUAAACUUCUUUUAUAUGGGACGAAAAAGGGCCUUUCCAGGCCAACUGACGGUACCAUUUGAAUAAGCACCGGCUAACUCCGUGCCAGCAGCCGCGGUAAUACGGAGGGUGCAAGCGUUAUCCGGAUUCACUGGGUUUAAAGGGUGCGUAGGUGGGUUGGUAAGUCAGUGGUGAAAUCUCCGGGCUUAACCCGGAAACUGCCAUUGAUACUAUCAGUCUUGAAUAUUGUGGAGGUCAGCGGAAUAUGUCAUGUAGCGGUGAAAUGCUUAGAUAUGACAUAGAACACCAAUUGCGAAGGC
This 721-nucleotide ribosomal RNA is filed under the name uncultured bacterium. Its description in RNAcentral is "bacterial SSU rRNA". It matches the Rfam family "Bacterial small subunit ribosomal RNA", at positions 8 to 722 of the family's 1533-position model. The record is from RNAcentral.